CCAAUGGCGUGUCCAGCGGGGUGGCCUGGGGGGGCACAGGCCACCCCCAUAACCAGACUGGCCACCCCAGGUGCCACCCCAAAGGCAAAACAAUAAAAUUCAAUCAAAUAUCAAAUGUCCGAUUAUGUUUUCACGGUGAAGCUCAGAUAUCCGAUUGUAAGUGAAUGCAGCAUCCUUCUGCGCUAUGUGCAUCACGUUAGCAAAGGUAGGAGAGCCAAGCGCGAAAGAUGGCACUGCAGGAAACAAUUUUUCGGUGAAAGAAAAUGAGGACAGAAUAAAUGUCCCGGUAAGUAAUAUUAAGUUUGUUGAGUUUAGUAAACUUCGGUGAAAUUAGAAUACCAAGGAAAAAAUAACACUUAAAGAAUUAUUGCAGCCGUGGAAUAUUUCAGACAGUAUGCUACUGAGGGCAGCUAACAUAAGAGUUAUGAGUUAUAAGAUGUAAUCUAAGUCGUAACAUUGGAGCUGCAGAUUUGGUUGCAGGUUAACAUCGCUGGACUGGCCAUCGGGCUUAUUUGACUUAUUUUUUAUUUUUUUUGUAACGGCAUGAACAAUGAGAGGUGGUGGAUUGGCCAGAUGCAGGUCGAUGUGUAGAAAUAACUCCGUUGUUUGGUGGUGGCUAUGGCGGGGCUUCCACAGAGGCCAGCAGGUGGAUGAGGGAAGGGGAGGCAGGAGGAGAGACCCGAAGCAGCCACCAGUCCGAGUGUCAGGUGAACUGAACUUCAGGUAAGAAGUUAUGACCUGCAGUCUCUCUGGGUCAGAUAUAAACCAAGUUUAGGUGGAGUUUAUUUUAGUUGUGCUGACUUUUUACCGUCAGUUGCAAUAACUCAUACUGCGUUCUAGCCAGCUUGAUGGAGUUUUUAGGUGGGUGGGUGCUAUGAUGUUACUGAUAGUGAACUUUAUUUUAUUCAUAAGGUUAGUUAGUAGAGUUGCCAACGGCUCCUUAAAAAAAUGGAAUGGUCCCUCAUUCAGAGAAAAUAUUACACGUUUCGUAUUGAGCUGAGAAGAGACGCAGUUUGUCCCGAACUUCAGCUAGGAUGGAAAAAGACACAAAGCUGGAUUUAUUCUGUCGUUAUGCGGCACAGCUGCUUCUUCUCUCAUUCUCUCCCCCUCCCUCUCCUGUUGCUACUUCAAUCAUGAAACUGAUCAAUGAUCAGCUGAUCAGCUUUUCUCUCUUGUUUAUUUAUCGCCCACUUUGCGCCAGAAAGAGGAAACCAGCGGAUGUCGCGCUAAACAACAGCAGCACGUUUAAGCUUGAUCAGCUGUUGUUAGAAUGUAUUUAAUAUUAAUUUCUAGUAUCAGCUGAUGUUUGCUGGAGCCACAGCUGUAAAGCUGCUGGUCAUGAUGUCUGUUUAGAUAUGUGGUGAGAGGGAAACAUGAAACCAGGAGAUGUCCUUACUGAAUCAUCAGAGCUGAACAGGUGAUGGAGAAACAGGUUUACCUUUUAGGUGACAUGAAUGAGUUGAAGUUAUGAACUGUUUCUGAGAGACAAAUAACACCAGGAUCCUUUUUUAUGUAGC
Molecule: long non-coding RNA, 1517 nt
Organism: Astatotilapia calliptera (eastern happy)
Lineage: Eukaryota; Metazoa; Chordata; Actinopteri; Cichliformes; Cichlidae
Source: Ensembl